This is a non-coding RNA of Castor canadensis (American beaver), 340 nucleotides long. Lineage: Eukaryota; Metazoa; Chordata; Mammalia; Rodentia; Castoridae. The record is from RefSeq and is a predicted model, not a curated record.
AACCCUUGCUUCUGCUCACUCACUGCGUACAAAUUAUACCUGGGUGUUGGCAACCAGCCAUUCCUUCGCCAAUGAAGUAUAUCCUGGUCACUGGAGGGGUCAUCUCUGGCAUUGGUAAAGGGAUCAUCGCCAGCAGCAUUGGGACAAUUCUCAAAUCAUGUGGACUCCGAGUCACUGCCAUCAAAAUCGACCCCUAUAUUAAUAUUGACGCUGGGACCUUUUCACCUUAUGAACACGAUUGCUGAUAACAUUCCAAAUUAGUCAGCGCUUUUGGAAGCAUUAUACCUUUUGCCGUGGAUUAUGUUUUGUUUUAUCAUAAAGGUAAUAUAUUUCUCUAAAC